This is a non-coding RNA of Obba rivulosa, 83 nucleotides long. Lineage: Eukaryota; Fungi; Basidiomycota; Agaricomycetes; Polyporales; Gelatoporiaceae. The record is from the annotation of a GenBank genome assembly.
GCCGGAAUAGCUCAGCUGGGAGAGCAACAGACUGAAGUCCAUCGGCUUUCUGGAGGUCCCGUGUUCAAUCCACGGUUCUGGCA